UAGGGAAUAUUGCACAAUGGGGGAAACCCUGAUGCAGCAAUGCCACGUGAGUGAGGAAGGUCUUAGGAUUGUAAAGCUCUGUCCUAUGGGAAGAAUGGUAUUAUGGCUAAUAUCCAUAGUAUUUGACGGUACCAUAGAAGAAAGCACCGGCUAACUCCGUGCCAGCAGCCGCGGUAAUACGGAGGGUGCAAGCGUUGUUCGGAUUUACUGGGCGUAAAGCGCGCGCAGGCGGAUUGAUAAGUCAGAUGUGAAAUCUCGGGGCUUAACCUCGAAACUGCGUCUGAAACUAUCGAUCUAGAAUGUCAUAGGGGGUAGGGGAAUUUCACGUGUAGGGGUAAAAUCCGUAGAGAUGUGAAGGAACACCGGAGGCGAAGGCGCCUACCUGGAUGAUUAUUGACGC
RNAcentral lists this ribosomal RNA (400 nucleotides) under uncultured bacterium. RNAcentral's name for it is "bacterial SSU rRNA". It matches the Rfam family "Bacterial small subunit ribosomal RNA", at positions 355 to 746 of the family's 1533-position model. The record is from RNAcentral.